AACGAACGCUGGCGGCAGGCUUAACACAUGCAAGUCGAGCGCCCCGCAAGGGGAGCGGCAGACGGGUGAGUAACGCGUGGGAACGUACCUUUUGGUUCGGAACAACUCCGGGAAACUGGAGCUAAUACCGGAUAAGCCCUAACGGGGAAAGAUUUAUCGCCGAAAGAUCGGCCCGCGUCUGAUUAGCUAGUUGGUGAGGUAACGGCUCACCAAGGCGACGAUCAGUAGCUGGUCUGAGAGGAUGAUCAGCCACACUGGGACUGAGACACGGCCCAGACUCCUACGGGAGGCAGCAGUGGGGAAUAUUGGACAAUGGGCGCAAGCCUGAUCCAGCCAUGCCGCGUGAGUGAUGAAGGCCUUAGGGUUGUAAAGCUCUUUUGUCCGGGAAGAUAAUGACUGUACCGGAAGAAUAAGCCCCGGCUAACUUUGUG
This 431-nucleotide ribosomal RNA is filed under the name uncultured bacterium. RNAcentral's name for it is "partial 16S ribosomal RNA". It matches the Rfam family "Bacterial small subunit ribosomal RNA", at positions 29 to 507 of the family's 1533-position model. The record is from RNAcentral.